RNAcentral lists this ribosomal RNA (469 nucleotides) under Aspidoscelis tigris tigris. RNAcentral describes it as "partial 16S ribosomal RNA". It matches the Rfam family "Bacterial large subunit ribosomal RNA", at positions 1926 to 2593 of the family's 2925-position model. The record is from RNAcentral. Lineage: Eukaryota; Metazoa; Chordata; Lepidosauria; Squamata; Teiidae.
AACGGCCGCGGGAUCUUACACCGUGCAAAGGUAGCAUAAUCACUUGUCAUCUAAAUAAUGACUAGUAUGAAUGGCCCUAUGAGGACUUCCCUGUCUCUUAUAACCAAUCAAUGAAACUGAUCUCCCAGUACAAAAGCUGGGAUAAUAACACAAGACGAAAAGACCCUGUGGAACUUCCAAGUGUUAAUCAACAACAUGACACAAUCACUUUUAGUUGGGGCAACUUUGGAACAAAAUAAAACUUCCAAUUAAAGUUAUACCACUUUAACUAAAAACUAGGUCCACACACCAAUCUUUUAACUUACACCGACCCAGUACUACUGAUAAAAGAAACAAGCUACCCCAGGGAUAACAGCGCCAUCCCCUCUUAGAGCCCAAAUCGACGAGCGGGGCUUACGACCUCGAUGUUGGAUCAGGGCCCCCAAACAGUGCAGCAGCUGUUAAAGGUUUGUUUGUUCAACAAUUAAUG